Hipposideros armiger (great roundleaf bat) is the source of this 634-nucleotide RNA transcript. It is a transcript of the gene named voltage-dependent anion-selective channel protein 2 pseudogene, with no coding region annotated. NCBI's taxonomy places the organism in Eukaryota, Metazoa, Chordata, Mammalia, Chiroptera, Hipposideridae. The transcript has a single exon. The record is from RefSeq and is a predicted model, not a curated record.
AGACCACUAGAUCACCUCUUUCCGCGGCCUCGCUAUGGCUACUUACGAACAGAGCUGCGCGCAGCCAAUGUGUACUCCUCCAUCAUAUGCUGACCUUGGCAAAGCUGCCAGAGGUAUUUUCAACAAAGGAUUUGGUUUGGGGUUGGUGAAAUUGGAUGUGAAAACAAAGUCAUGCAGUGGUGUGGAAUUCUCAACAUCAGGUUCAUCUAAUACAGACACUGGUAAAGUUACUGGGACCUUGGAGACCAAAUAUAAAUGGUGUGAGUAUGGCCUGACUUUCACAGAGAAAUGGAACACUGAUAACACUCUGGGAACAGAAAUCGCAAUUGAAGACCAGAUUUGUCAAGGUUUGAAGCUGACAUUUGAUACCACCUUUUCACCAAACACAGGAAAGAAAAGUGGUAAAAUGAAGUCUUCUUACAAGAGGGAGUGUAUAAACCUUGGUUGUGAUGUUGACUUUGAUUUUGCUGGACCUGCAAUCCAUGGGUCAGCUGUCUUUGGUUAUGAGGGCUGGCUUGCUGGGUACCAAAUGACCUUUGACAGUGCCAAAUCAAAGCUGACCAGGAAUAACUUUGCAGUGGGCUACAGAACUGGAGACUUCCAGCUACACACUAAUGUCAAUGAUGGAACAGAA